CCUACGGGAGGCAGCAGUAAGGAAUAUUGGACAAUGGGCGCAAGCCUGAUCCAGCCAUGCCGCGUGAAGGAUUAAGGUCCUCUGGAUUGUAAACUUCUUUUAUAGGGGACGAAAAAAGGGCAUUCUUGCUCACUUGACGGUACCCUAUGAAUAAGCACCGGCUAACUCCGUGCCAGCAGCCGCGGUAAUACGGAGGGUGCAAGCGUUAUCCGGAUUCACUGGGUUUAAAGGGUGCGUAGGCGGGCAGUUAAGUCAGUGGUGAAAUCUCCGAGCUCAACUCGGAAACUGCCAUUGAUACUAUCUGUCUUGAAUAUUGUGGAGGUAAGCGGAAUAUGUCAUGUAGCGGUGAAAUGCUUAGAUAUGACAUAGAACACCUAUUGCGAAGGCAGCUUACUACGCAUAUAUUGACGCUGAGGCACGAAAGCGUGGGGAGUCAAACAGGAUUAGAUACCCUGGUAGUCCACGCCCUAAACGAUGGAUACUCGACAUACGCGAUACACUGUGUGUGUCUGNGNGAAGANAUAGUAUCCACCGNGGAGUACGUCCGCGAGAGAGAACGUACAAUAGAGUUAGACGACGAGAGAGNGCCGACGGACGACGACGAGGGAGGAGGAG
RNAcentral lists this ribosomal RNA (615 nucleotides) under uncultured bacterium. RNAcentral's name for it is "bacterial SSU rRNA". The stretch from base 1 to 533 matches the Rfam family "Bacterial small subunit ribosomal RNA", at positions 338 to 873 of the family's 1533-position model. The record is from RNAcentral.